Molecule: ribosomal RNA, 515 nt
Filed under: uncultured bacterium
Lineage: Bacteria
Description: partial 16S ribosomal RNA
Rfam family: Bacterial small subunit ribosomal RNA
Source: RNAcentral
AAUGAACGCUGGCGGCGUGCCUAAUACAUGCAAGUCGAGCGAAUGGAUUAAGAGCUUGCUCUUAUGAAGUUAGCGGCGGACGGGUGAGUAACACGUGGGUAACCUGCCCAUAAGACUGGGAUAACUCCGGGAAACCGGGGCUAAUACCGGAUAACAUUUUGAACCGCAUGGUUCGAAAUUGAAAGGCGGCUUCGGCUGUCACUUAUGGAUGGACCCGCGCCGCAUUAGCUAGUUGGUGAGGUAACGGCUCACCAAGGCAACGAUGCGGAGCCGACCUGAGAGGGUGAUCGGCCACGGUGGGACUGAGACACGGCCCAGACUCCUACGGGAGGCAGCAGUAGGGAAUCUUCCGCAAUGGACGAAAGUCUGACGGAGCAACGCCGCGUGAGUGAUGAAGGCUUUCGGGUCGUAAAACUCUGUUGUUAGGGAAGAACAAGUGCUAGUUGAAUAAGCUGGCACCUUGACGGUACCUAACCAGAAAGCCACGGCUAACUACGUGCCAGCAGCCGCAGUAA